UACGUAGGGUGCAAGCGUUAUCCGGAAUUAUUGGGCGUAAAGAGCUCGUAGGCGGUUUGUCGCGUCUGCUGUGAAAACUGGAGGCUCAACCUCCAGCCUGCAGUGGGUACGGGCAGACUAGAGUGCGGUAGGGGAGAUUGGAAUUCCUGGUGUAGCGGUGGAAUGCGCAGAUAUCAGGAGGAACACCAAUGGCGAAGGCAGAUCUCUGGGCCGUAACUGACGCUGAGGAGCGAAAGCGUGGGGAGCAAACAGG
RNAcentral lists this ribosomal RNA (253 nucleotides) under uncultured bacterium. RNAcentral describes it as "partial 16S ribosomal RNA". It matches the Rfam family "Bacterial small subunit ribosomal RNA", at positions 524 to 776 of the family's 1533-position model. The record is from RNAcentral.